ACCCCACCUCCCUGUCCUCCAGCGAGACUUCAGGCCACGGAGGGCCAGGUCCUGCUGCACAUCGUGGGAAGGAAUCUAUUCCCUAGCAGAAGAAAGAGGCAAUGCAGCAAAGUGGUGCAGAACACAGGAGCUGGAGCCAUUCAGACCCAAGUCCAACUCUUGACCUCGCCCACUUUCUCUACAGUCCUGAGCAAUUACACCUGCCAAGCACCUUCCCAAUGGACAGACUGGCAGGCCCUACUCCCAACAGGCAUCCAGACUGAGCAUCACCAAGGAUGGGACAAACAGAAGCAAUGCAAGAGGAAAUGCGAACACGAACAUGCACCACUACACCACAACCUAUGGAAACAAUCAGGCAAAACAAGACUAGGAGACAUAUGACAAGAAAACAGGCCUGGACGCUUCAAAAAUGCCAAUGUCACGAAAGACAAAAACUGGGCAUGCUCUUCUGGAUCAAAGGAGACUAAAGAGAUAUAACAACCAAACACAAUAAAACUAUCCUAGAUUA
Molecule: long non-coding RNA, 508 nt
Organism: Homo sapiens (human)
Lineage: Eukaryota; Metazoa; Chordata; Mammalia; Primates; Hominidae
Exons: 2
Source: RefSeq, a predicted model, not a curated record